RNAcentral lists this ribosomal RNA (703 nucleotides) under Limosilactobacillus portuensis. RNAcentral's name for it is "Limosilactobacillus sp. c11Ua_112_M partial 23S ribosomal RNA". It matches the Rfam family "Bacterial large subunit ribosomal RNA", at positions 1 to 698 of the family's 2925-position model. The record is from RNAcentral. Lineage: Bacteria; Bacillati; Bacillota; Bacilli; Lactobacillales; Lactobacillaceae.
AGGUUAAGUUAUGAAGGGCGCAUGGUGAAUGCCUUGGUACUAGGAGCCGAUGAAGGACGGGACUAACACCGAUAUGCUUCGGGGAGCGGUAAGUACGCUUUAAUCCGGAGAUUUCCGAAUGGGGAAACCCAACCAACUUAGUCGUUGGUUGCUUGACUAGUGAAUCUAUAGCUAGCAAGCGGUAGACGCAGUGAACUGAAACAUCUCAGUAGCUGCAGGAAGAGAAAGAAACAUCGAUUCCCUUAGUAGCGGCGAGCGAACGGGGAAGAGCCCAAACCAACGAGCUUGCUCGUUGGGGUUGUAGGACUGAACAUUUGAGUUACCAAAGAGCGACGUAGUCGAAACAGUUGGGAAGCUGUGCCAGAGAUGGUGAAAGCCCAGUAGACGAAACGGCACUCUCUCAGUUCAGGAUCCUGAGUACGGCGGGACACGUGAAACCCCGUCGGAAGCAGCGAGGACCAUCUCGCAAGGCUAAAUACUCCCUAGUGACCGAUAGUGAACCAGUACCGUGAGGGAAAGGUGAAAAGCACCCCGGAAGGGGAGUGAAAUAGUUCCUGAAACCAUGUGCCUACAAGCUGUCGGAGCCCAUUAAUGGGUGACGGCGUGCCUCUUGCAGAAUGAACCGGCGAGUUACGAUUGCAUGCAAGGUUAAGGUGGAAAAACCGGAGCCGCAGCGAAAGCGAGUCUGAAAUGGGCGUACGAA